CCUACGGGAGGCAGCAGUGGGGAAUAUUGCACAAUGGGCGCAAGCCUGAUGCAGCCAUGCCGCGUGUGUGAAGAAGGCCUUCGGGUUGUAAAGCACUUUCAGCGGGGAGGAAGGCGUUAAGGUUAAUAACCUUGUCGAUUGACGUUACCCGCAGAAGAAGCACCGGCUAACUCCGUGCCAGCAGCCGCGGUAAUACGGAGGGUGCAAGCGUUAAUCGGAAUUACUGGGCGUAAAGCGCACGCAGGCGGUCUGUCAAGUCGGAUGUGAAAUCCCCAGGCUCAACCUGGGGACUGCAUUCGAAACUGGCAGGCUAGAGUCUUGUCGGGGGGGGUAAAAUGCCAGGGGUAGCGGGGAAAUGCGUAGAGAUCUGGGGGAAUACCGGGGGCGAAGGCGGCCCCCUGGACAAAGACUGACGCUCAGGUGCGAAAGCGUGGGGAGCAAACGGGAUAAAUACCCUUGUAGUC
This 464-nucleotide ribosomal RNA is filed under the name uncultured Klebsiella sp. RNAcentral describes it as "bacterial SSU rRNA". It matches the Rfam family "Bacterial small subunit ribosomal RNA", at positions 338 to 795 of the family's 1533-position model. Lineage: Bacteria; Pseudomonadati; Pseudomonadota; Gammaproteobacteria; Enterobacterales; Enterobacteriaceae. The record is from RNAcentral.